AGGACGAACGCUGGCGGCGUGCCUAAAACAUGCAAGUCGAACGGUUUCUAGCAAUAGAGACAGUGGCGAACGGCGGAGUAAUACGUGAACAACGUGCCCCAAAGACCGGGAUAGUUAUUGGAAACGAUGGGUAAUACCGGAUGUGGUGAUUUUCUCUCAUGAGGAGAUCAUUAAAUGGUUUUUCGCUUUGGGAGCGGUUCACGGCCUAUCAGGUAGAUGGUGGGUAAUGGCCUACCAUGCCGACGACGGGUAGCGGGUCUGGAGAGGAUGAUCCGCUCGAGUGGGACUGAGACACGGCCCACACACCUACGGGUGGCAGCAGUUGGGAAUCUUGCACAAUGGGGAAACCCUGAUGCAGCGACGCCGCGUGGAGGAUGAAGGUCUAGGCCUGUAAACUCCGUUUUUACGGGAAAGUACGUUAGGACGGUACCGAAGAAGUAAGCACCGGACUAACUACGU
This 459-nucleotide ribosomal RNA is filed under the name uncultured soil bacterium. RNAcentral's name for it is "bacterial SSU rRNA". It matches the Rfam family "Bacterial small subunit ribosomal RNA", at positions 26 to 506 of the family's 1533-position model. The record is from RNAcentral.